CACCUCCUUUUCUCUUCCUGGCGGAACUCGUUCGAGAAGCCAUUUCUUUUCUUGGGCGAUAACCAUCCUUAUAUACUCACCAAUCUCGUCUGAUCCCUUAUUGUUCAAGAAAAUCUUGAUGUCGAUGUCAAUCCCUCUAAGUUGGGUUUUACAGAUCUUGAUCAUUCGUGGACUAAAACUAGGUCGUGGAAAGAUCCAUACGAGGCGUUGCUUAACACAUUGGAAGAGAUCGAGCAGGAGAUGCAGUAGUCGGUCCUCUCUCUACAUUAUCGAUUAGGUCAAGCACAUAUGGUUUUAGUGAGUGGGGUCGUCGGUGAGUGGAUAAAGUCCAACUAUGCUUAGGACGGAGGAAACCAGAAGAUGGUGACGGAUACAACAGCUUCGGUGGCAAUGGAUGAAGCAGCACAAGAAGGUAUGAUGGAGCUAGUGAACAUGGAUAUGUAAAACG
This is a long non-coding RNA of Arabidopsis thaliana (thale cress), 448 nucleotides long. RefSeq annotates it as other RNA. The transcript has a single exon. NCBI's taxonomy places the organism in Eukaryota, Viridiplantae, Streptophyta, Magnoliopsida, Brassicales, Brassicaceae. The record is from RefSeq.